CUGAGUUUGAAUUCGAAAGAUUUCAUCUCCCACCCUUUGUUUACAAGACCUGUUGCUUCGGCGAGAUUGAUGUUUUUUUUCAUCAGUUGAUUGACACUUGUCAAUGAGCUUUGCUUGCCGAAGUUUUUUACAACUCUUUUUAUUUUGAUAUUUUUUUACAAAAACAAAAAAAAUUA
Molecule: unclassified non-coding RNA, 176 nt
Filed under: uncultured fungus
Lineage: Eukaryota; Fungi
Description: sequence contains ITS1, 5.8S rRNA gene
Source: RNAcentral